UACGAAGGGGGCUAGCGUUGUUCGGAUUUAUUGGACGUAAAGAGCGUGUAGGCGGCUUUACAGGUCCGUUGUGAAAACUCGAGGCUCAACCUCGAGACGCCGGUGGAAACCGUAAGGCUAGAGUCCGGAAGAGGAGAGUGGAAUUCCUGGUGUAGCGGUGAAAUGCGCAGAUAUCAGGAAGAACACCCGUGGCGAAGGCGGCUCUCUGGGACGUGACUGACGCUGAGACGCGAAAGCGUGGGGAGCGAACAGG
Molecule: ribosomal RNA, 253 nt
Filed under: uncultured bacterium
Lineage: Bacteria
Description: partial 16S ribosomal RNA
Rfam family: Bacterial small subunit ribosomal RNA
Source: RNAcentral